Long non-coding RNA from Drosophila sechellia, 1484 nucleotides. RefSeq lists it as uncharacterized. The transcript has 6 exons. The record is from RefSeq and is a predicted model, not a curated record. NCBI's taxonomy places the organism in Eukaryota, Metazoa, Arthropoda, Insecta, Diptera, Drosophilidae.
UAGCCGGUAUUCCAGGUCAUUCUCGGUAGCUGGUCUCACUACUAAUUGGAAAAGGGAAAAAGAAAUCAUAUGUUACCUUUCCUGAUCGUCGCUGCUCAUCGCGUCACCUCGGAGAUGCCAUCAUGUACCAGGCAUCGGCCAAUCUGGCCCGUCAGACCUGAUGCAAGCGUCCAGUAAAUCAUAAUAUUAGACAUCCAGAAAGAAGUAUUUGUCCACCGGAUAAUCGUCGUACGGCAAAACGAUUGGCAAGGAAUGCGACUGCGGCAAAAACCAUUCCCUGCUACUGCUGUCGCUACCGACCGCUGCUGUUGUUGCAUUAUGGUGAUGGCUGCGUCGCCGCCGCUGUUGCUGCUGGUGGUGCCUAGGCUGGACGGUUCUUGGAGGUAUAUUUUUCAGGUCGGCUAUUCUGAAGGUACUUUUGUAGCAGCUAAUUUUGAGUCCGUCGUAGCUGUGAUGCCGUGGUUUAUUGGGUUCUUAGUUUGCGAUUAAUCUGGAGGUACAUUUGUUGCAGCUCAUAUUGAGGCCGUCGCUGCUAGGAUCACGUGGUUUUGAUUUCUUUACGUUUGCGGUUAAUCUGGAGUUAAGUAUUACGUUUGUUGUUAUAAUUGCUUUUAUAUUUGUUUAAUUUGUUUAAUUUUUCAGGUACGUUUGUAGCAGCUAAUAUUAAGGCCGACGCAAAUGGGAUGCCAAGGAUUUGGGUUCUUAAAGUUUGCGAUUAAUCUGGAGGUAAGUAUUAAGUUUAUUGUUAUAAUUGCAUUCUUUUUCCUUUCUUCCAGUUCAUUUGCCGGUCCGAGAAUGAUUGCCAGGUGGCCUGUCAGGAAGUCGGGUCGUCGUAUAUUCCCAGAAGGCGGAUGUGGCAAAAGCAUUCACUGUUGUUCCUGUCGCUGUUUUUAUUGUUGCUGCUGUUUCCUUGUGUUGCCGACUCGUUAUCACGCUCGGCUAGAAGGUGAUUCCUGUGUCGCAACUCGCCUUGAUGAAGCUCUGCAUGUUGUUGGUGAUUCCGGCGCCUAAUCCCAGGCAAGGCUGCCAUCAGACAUGAUCUCCGUACGUUUAGUGUCGCUAAUCAUCGGCCAUUCGGUCCCUUCAGUCCUGAUGCAGGUAUCCCUACUUUAGCAGGAGGGAAAAGCAUGCGCCGCAGUUCAGUUGCUUUUACAGGAACACACCGGUUUUCAGGAAUGAAAUUUUAUUGUAUAUUUUAGGAAAGAGAAGGAAAACUAAUAAAUUAUUUUCUUUCUUUCAGGAAAGCGGUGGUGAAGAGCCAGACAAAGCGGCAAAUGGAGCCAUCAUAAAGCGGAGAUUGUUUCAGGCACAUAUCCAUCAGUUUGGAAUGAGAGACGGAUCACCAGUGAUGCGUUCUCCAUCUCGCCAGGAAAGCGCCAUUCGAGUGCGCAGUCUAUAUCAUCCAGUAGGUGUUAUUAGUUAGAUUUUACCAUUUAUAUGUGAGACAUUUUCCUUUAUUAAAAUAACCUGUAUGUGAGCCUUUA